RNAcentral lists this ribosomal RNA (248 nucleotides) under uncultured bacterium. RNAcentral describes it as "partial 16S ribosomal RNA". It matches the Rfam family "Bacterial small subunit ribosomal RNA", at positions 1244 to 1500 of the family's 1533-position model. The record is from RNAcentral.
GGGCAGCUACCCAGCAAUGGGAUGCGAAUCUCGAAAGCCUGUCUCAGUUCGGAUUGGAGGCUGAAACCCGCCUCCAUGAAGUUGGAUUCGCUAGUAAUCGCGCAUCAGCCAUGGCGCGGUGAAUACGUUCCCGGGCCUUGUACACACCGCCCGUCAAGCCAUGGGAGCCGGGGGUGCCUGAAGUUCGUGACCGCAAGGAGCGACCUAGGGCAAAACUGGUGACUGGGGCUAAGUCGUAACAAGGUAGC